AGAGUUUGAUCCUGGCUCAGGACGAACGCUGGCGGCGUGCCUAAUACAUGCAAGUCGAACGAACGGAUAAGGAGCUCGCUCUUUUGAAGUUAGUGGCGGACGGGUGAGUAACACGUGGGUAACCUGCCUCACAGCUGGGGAUAACAUCGAGAAAUCGAUGCUAAUACCGAAUGUGCUGAACAUCAUAAGAUGUUCAAGUGAAAGACGGUUUCGGCUGUCACUGUGAGAUGGACCCGCGCUGGAUUAGCUAGUUGGUAAGGUAAUGGCUUACCAAGGCGACGAUCCAUAGCCGACCUGAGAGGGUGAUCGGCCACAUUGGGACUGAGACACGGCCCAAACUCCUACGGGAGGCAGCAGUAGGGAAUCUUCGGCAAUGGACGAAAGUCUGACCGAGCAACGCCGCGUGAGCGAAGAAGGCCUUCGGGUCGUAAAGCUCUGUUGUUAGAGAAGAACAUGGGUGAGAGUAACUGUUCACCCCUUGACGGUAUCUAACCAGAAAGCCACGGCUAACUACGUGCCAGCAGCCGCGGUAAUACGUAGGUGGCAAGCGUUGUCCGGAAUUAUUGGGCGUAAAGCGCGCGCAGGCGGUCUCUUAAGUCUGAUGUGAAAGCCCCCGGCUCAACCGGGGAGGGUCGUUGGAAACUGGGAGACUUGAGGACAGAAGAGGAGAGUGGAAUUCCAAGUGUAGCGGUGAAAUGCGUAGAUAUUUGGAGGAACACCAGUGGCGAAGGCGGCUCUCUGGUCUGUUACUGACGCUGAGGCGCGAAA
RNAcentral lists this ribosomal RNA (768 nucleotides) under uncultured bacterium. RNAcentral's name for it is "bacterial SSU rRNA". It matches the Rfam family "Bacterial small subunit ribosomal RNA", at positions 8 to 758 of the family's 1533-position model. The record is from RNAcentral.